This 597-nucleotide ribosomal RNA is filed under the name Aspergillus fumigatus. RNAcentral describes it as "eukaryotic LSU rRNA". The stretch from base 216 to 369 matches the Rfam family "5.8S ribosomal RNA". The record is from RNAcentral. Lineage: Eukaryota; Fungi; Ascomycota; Eurotiomycetes; Eurotiales; Aspergillaceae.
UCCGUAGGUGAACCUGCGGAAGGAUCAUUACCGAGUGAGGGCCCUCUGGGUCCAACCUCCCACCCGUGUCUAUCGUACCUUGUUGCUUCGGCGGGCCCGCCGUUUCGACGGCCGCCGGGGAGGCCUUGCGCCCCCGGGCCCGCGCCCGCCGAAGACCCCAACAUGAACGCUGUUCUGAAAGUAUGCAGUCUGAGUUGAUUAUCGUAAUCAGUUAAAACUUUCAACAACGGAUCUCUUGGUUCCGGCAUCGAUGAAGAACGCAGCGAAAUGCGAUAAGUAAUGUGAAUUGCAGAAUUCAGUGAAUCAUCGAGUCUUUGAACGCACAUUGCGCCCCCUGGUAUUCCGGGGGGCAUGCCUGUCCGAGCGUCAUUGCUGCCCUCAAGCACGGCUUGUGUGUUGGGCCCCCGUCCCCCUCUCCCGGGGGACGGGCCCGAAAGGCAGCGGCGGCACCGCGUCCGGUCCUCGAGCGUAUGGGGCUUUGUCACCUGCUCUGUAGGCCCGGCCGGCGCCAGCCGACACCCAACUUUAUUUUUCUAAGGUUGACCUCGGAUCAGGUAGGGAUACCCGCUGAACUUAAGCAUAUCAAUAAGUCGGAGG